AUUGAAUAGGUUCUUUUUACUCAUAUAACCCUGAUAAUUGGUUUGGGGGUUUCUACGAGGCAACCGGAAUUGCUUCUCUAUGAGCCAGGUAAGGCUUAUA
Molecule: non-coding RNA, 100 nt
Filed under: Desulfosporosinus orientis
Lineage: Bacteria; Bacillati; Bacillota; Clostridia; Eubacteriales; Desulfitobacteriaceae
Also listed under: 1 other name
Description: Guanine sequence
Rfam family: Purine riboswitch aptamer
About the family: Riboswitches are metabolite binding domains within certain messenger RNAs that serve as precision sensors for their corresponding targets. Allosteric rearrangement of mRNA structure is mediated by ligand binding, and this results in modulation of gene expression.
Source: RNAcentral